UACAGAGGGUGCGAGCGUUAAUCGGAAUUACUGGGCGUAAAGGGCUCGUAGGUGGCCAACUAAGUCAGACGUGAAAUCCCUCGGCUUAACCGGGGAACUGCGUCUGAUACUGGAUGGCUUGAGUUUGGGAGAGGGAUGCGGAAUUCCAGGUGUAGCGGUGAAAUGCGUAGAUAUCUGGAGGAACACCGGUGGCGAAGGCGGCAUCCUGGACCAACACUGACACUGAGGAGCGAAAGCCAGGGGAGCAAACGGG
RNAcentral lists this ribosomal RNA (253 nucleotides) under uncultured bacterium. RNAcentral's name for it is "partial 16S ribosomal RNA". It matches the Rfam family "Bacterial small subunit ribosomal RNA", at positions 524 to 776 of the family's 1533-position model. The record is from RNAcentral.